This is a long non-coding RNA of Ictalurus punctatus (channel catfish), 967 nucleotides long. RefSeq lists it as uncharacterized. The transcript is spliced from 3 exons. The record is from RefSeq and is a predicted model, not a curated record. Lineage: Eukaryota; Metazoa; Chordata; Actinopteri; Siluriformes; Ictaluridae.
GCAAAGGAGAGUUGACAGUUAAUACACAUAUAAUGAGUACCAUCAUUCUUUUGAACAUGUACUUCCUGGUGUCAAUUCAAUUUAACCAAGCCCAAAGUUAUGCAUUAUUAUCUCUGUUAAUAAUGCAUGACUCAAUGCAUAUUUCCAUUCCUGACAAUUCACCUGUCAUCCAUUGAAUUGGCAUGGCUGGUUUAUUUAUAUAAUUAUACCAAUAUUUCUUCACACUAAGUUAAUUACAGUGGUUGCAAAAGUUCUGGCUUCUUCUACUUUACAUAGGAUCUAUAAUCUCUUCAAAAACCUUCAUGGCAAUCUGUUGUUUUGUCUUGCAGAAACUGUAAAGUGGAAGCCAACAUUGAUGGUCCUUGGAAGACCAAUCUGAGGAUAUAUUUCCUGUAACGCCUGAGGAGGUUUGACCAGCUGCAAGUCCUCAGCAAAGGUGUGGCCUCAUCUUGCCAUCGGAAAUAACGCCCUUGGGGAUAGGUUCUUGGAAUUAUUCUUUUGAAACUUAACACCGAGCUCUAGAGCACCAUGUUGGUGACAAAGGGGCAAUCUGUGGCAUUGGCACUGGAGCUAGAGAUUGUGGUGAAACUACAGAGUCACAGACAAAAUGGUGGUCACUGUUUAGACAAAGAAUCAACAAACAGAUGGUGAGAUAAUGAAACUCAUGACUCACCCAGCACAUAGGUGUGCCGUACCGGCAGAAUGCCUUUAAUCACUGGAGGAGAAAGGGGGUUGAAUGUUUGUAUGAUCUGCAUUGCUGGUGCACCUGAAAGAGUGGAAAAAAUCCACACAUGGUUACAUGGUGGCUGAAAUCUGACCGGGAAACGGGACCAAAAUAUGAGAGCUCAUGUUCACCAGAUGGCAUCAGAGAGGCGGUAGUGGCGAUCGUUAAGGGGAAGCGUACAAGCGAGGACACGCCAGUGACGUGGAAAUCCCCUUCCUGCACAGCCAUGUUGACUUCAGGGGG